This 301-nucleotide ribosomal RNA is filed under the name uncultured bacterium. RNAcentral describes it as "partial 16S ribosomal RNA". It matches the Rfam family "Bacterial small subunit ribosomal RNA", at positions 509 to 808 of the family's 1533-position model. The record is from RNAcentral.
CAGUCGCCGCGGUAAUACGGGGGGGGCAAGUGUUAUUCGGAAUGACUGGGCGUAAAGGGCACGUAGGCGGUGAAAAGGGUGGAAAGUGAAAGUCGCCAAAACACUGGCGGGGUGCUUUCUUGACCAUUUCACUUGAGUGAGAUAGGGGAGAGUGGAAUUUCGUGUGGAGGGAUCAAAUCCUAAGAUAUACGAAGGAACGCCAACCGCGAAGGCAGCUCUCUGGGUCCCCACUGACGCUGGGGUGCGAAAGCAUGGGGAGCAAACAGGAUCAGAUACCCCUGUAGUCCCUGUCUCUUAUACA